This 440-nucleotide non-coding RNA is filed under the name Trypanosoma vivax Y486. Its description in RNAcentral is "Trypanosomatid mitochondrial small subunit ribosomal RNA". It matches the Rfam family "Trypanosomatid mitochondrial small subunit ribosomal RNA", at positions 1 to 431 of the family's 623-position model. Lineage: Eukaryota; Euglenozoa; Kinetoplastea; Trypanosomatida; Trypanosomatidae. The record is from Rfam by way of RNAcentral.
UAUUUAUUUAGUCAAUUGUUAUUAUUCAUAUUAAUUUUUUUUUAUGUUUUGUUUUUUUAUGUGUGUUUAUUUAUUUAAAAUUUUAUAAUUAUUAAAUUUUAGGAAUAGUUAAUAAUAAUUUAUAAUUUUGAUUAGAUAGGUUUGAUAAUGCUAUAUAAUAGGUGUGGAAAAAAAUUAAAAAAUAAAAGAAAUAAUAAAUAUAAUAAAUAAAAUAUAAUUAGUCAGUCAGAAAUGGAUGCCAGCCGUUGCGGUAAUUUCUAUGCUUUUAAAUAUUAUACAUUUAUCAAAUUAAAUUGUUAUAAUCAAAUUUAACCAAUAAAAAAUAAAUAAUAAUAUAUUUUAUUUGUUUUUAAACACCAUUUGGUAUAUGCAAAUAUAAAAUUAUAGUAAUUAUAUAUUAUAUUCUAUUAUAUUUAUUCAUAUAGAUAGUUGUGUUGUAU